This 253-nucleotide ribosomal RNA is filed under the name uncultured bacterium. Its description in RNAcentral is "partial 16S ribosomal RNA". It matches the Rfam family "Bacterial small subunit ribosomal RNA", at positions 524 to 776 of the family's 1533-position model. The record is from RNAcentral.
UACGAAGGGGGCUAGCGUUGUUCGGAAUCACUGGGCGUAAAGCGCACGUAGGCGGAUUUUUAAGUCAGGGGUGAAAUCCCGGGGCUCAACCUCGGAACUGCCUUUGAUACUGGAGAUCUUGAGUCCGGAAGAGGUAAGUGGAACUGCGAGUGUAGAGGUGAAAUUCGUAGAUAUUCGCAAGAACACCAGUGGCGAAGGCGGCUUACUGGUCCGGAACUGACGCUGAGGUGCGAAAGCGUGGGGAGCGAACGGG